Molecule: ribosomal RNA, 1033 nt
Filed under: Salmonella enterica subsp. enterica serovar Enteritidis
Lineage: Bacteria; Pseudomonadati; Pseudomonadota; Gammaproteobacteria; Enterobacterales; Enterobacteriaceae
Description: partial 23S ribosomal RNA
Rfam family: Bacterial large subunit ribosomal RNA
Source: RNAcentral
UGGAGGUAUCAGAAGUGCGAAUGCUGACAUAAGUAACGAUAAAGCGGGUGAAAAGCCCGCUCGCCGGAAGACCAAGGGUUCCUGUCCAACGUUAAUCGGGGCAGGGUGAGUCGACCCCUAAGGCGAGGCCGAAAGGCGUAGUCGAUGGGAAACGGGUUAAUAUUCCCGUACUUGGUGUUACUGCGAAGGGGGGACGGAGAAGGCUAUGUUGGCCGGGCGACGGUUGUCCCGGUUUAAGCGUGUAGGUGUGUGUUCCAGGUAAAUCCGGUUCACUUUAACACUGAGGCGUGACGACGAGGCACUACGGUGCUGAAGCAACAAAUGCCCUGCUUCCAGGAAAAGCCUCUAAGCAUCAGGUAACAUCAAAUCGUACCCCAAACCGACACAGGUGGUCAGGUAGAGAAUACCAAGGCGCUUGAGAGAACUCGGGUGAAGGAACUAGGCAAAAUGGUGCCGUAACUUCGGGAGAAGGCACGCUGACACGUAGGUGAAGUGAUUUACUCAUGGAGCUGAAGUCAGUCGAAGAUACCAGCUGGCUGCAACUGUUUAUUAAAAACACAGCACUGUGCAAACACGAAAGUGGACGUAUACGGUGUGACGCCUGCCCGGUGCCGGAAGGUUAAUUGAUGGGGUCAGCGCAAGCGAAGCUCCUGAUCGAAGCCCCGGUAAACGGCGGCCGUAACUAUAACGGUCCUAAGGUAGCGAAAUUCCUUGUCGGGUAAGUUCCGACCUGCACGAAUGGCGUAAUGAUGGCCAGGCUGUCUCCACCCGAGACUCAGUGAAAUUGAACUCGCUGUGAAGAUGCAGUGUACCCGCGGCAAGACGGAAAGACCCCGUGAACCUUUACUAUAGCUUGACACUGAACAUUGAGCCUUGAUGUGUAGGAUAGGUGGGAGGCUUUGAAGUGUGGACGCCAGUCUGCAUGGAGCCGACCUUGAAAUACCACCCUUUAAUGUUUGAUGUUCUAACGUGGACCCGUUACCCGGGUUGCGGACAGUGUCUGGUGGGUAGUUUGACUGGGGCGGUCUCCUCC